UAUUAAUAAUAUAUGAUCCUAUAUACAAACUGAAUGAGACAUUCACAAAGCUGCAAAGAAUUCUUUUUGCUAUAAUUUCUUGCCUCGAAGAAGAUCUUGAUUCAUUAAGUCAUCAUGCUUUCAGUAUUUCCUCCUCAAUGGUGGCCUGAUUGAUUCAAUAACAUCUCUCAUAUCGUCUUCAAGAAGCCGACUCUUCAAUGGCAUUACUGGGCUGCUAUCCCCAUCAAUGAAUUUAACAUAGAAGUUCCUUGGUCGGGAAUGCAGUCUGGCAAGGUCUGGAUGAGAGGCAAAAGAGUGUUCACUCAAACUUUUUCUUGGCUUCCAAUAACAACAUUGAGCGUUCAACAUCUUUAGCAUGCCACCAUGCAAAGUCCAAUUUUUAAAGGUGGUUCCAUUGCUAUAAGCAUACGCUCUUACCAGCCUUGCCAUCUUCUCUUCUGCCAUCAAUUGCUUUGUAGUUGGCCAAGUUGAGUAUGAUUUAAGUGGAGCUGGAGCUGAAAUGGAUAAUAGACAUUUGUUAUCUUUGUAAGACCACGUGUUUUGGAUUCUUAUCCUUUCUUUAUACACAACAUAUUAAUGAAUUUUACUCUUCUUUUAUUCCUAGACGUCAUAGUCAUACAUUAUACAUUCUGUACAAUUUCUUUUGGACACACUAUUUUAUACAGUUUAUUGAUUCAAAUAUUCAUAUGCACAUGCUUAUAUUCAACAUCUUUUUUUUUUUUAUACUAUAAUGAUGUUAUUCGUUGAAUAGUAACACAAUAUUGUGCAAUAUUAAUUUAUAAUAAUAUUAUUUUUUAAGGCAAUGGCUCAAGUAUAUCUAUUUUCUCUUUUAAUAUGCGUAUACACGACCUCGGGCGAACCCACAUGUGCCCUCCUCAAAUAUUUUUGGCUUUUACAUGUUUUUUAAUAUUAUAUUUUCAUUUACCAAUGUAGCCUUUCAAAAUAUAAGUAUUCCCCAUAUCAAAUCGUUCCCACAUUGUUCUGUAAUUGACUUUUCAAAUUCAUUUCCCAUUUUUCUCGUUUUAAUUU
Ziziphus jujuba (common jujube) is the source of this 1029-nucleotide long non-coding RNA. RefSeq lists it as uncharacterized. Lineage: Eukaryota; Viridiplantae; Streptophyta; Magnoliopsida; Rosales; Rhamnaceae. The transcript is spliced from 3 exons. The record is from RefSeq and is a predicted model, not a curated record.